ACAGUGGAUUAUGUUUUAAUAUUUAUUUUUGUCUAGAAUAAGAGUUUUCUGUU
RNAcentral lists this transfer RNA (53 nucleotides) under Radopholus similis. RNAcentral's name for it is "transfer RNA-Asp". Lineage: Eukaryota; Metazoa; Nematoda; Chromadorea; Rhabditida; Pratylenchidae. The record is from RNAcentral.